GGGAAAGGUGUACGAGCUUAUAAUGCGUGUCCCUGGAGCAUGUUUCCUUCUGGAUUGGUGGACAGCGGCGUAACGGGGGAGUAACACGUGGGUAAUGUGCCCUCGGUACCGGGAUAGCCCGGGGAAACUCGGAUUAAUACCGGAUGGCCUUCCGAGCUCUCGAGCGCGGAAGGAAAGGUAGCUUCGGCCUCCGACCGAGGAUGAGCCCGCGGCCGAUUAGCUUGUUGGCGGGGUAACGGCCCACCAAGGCGACGAUCGGUAGCUGGUCUGAGAGGACGAUCAGCCACACUGGGACUGAGACACGGCCCAGACUCCUACGGGAGGCAGCAGGGGGGAAUCUUGCGCAAUGGGCGAAAGCCUGACGCAGCGACGCCGCGUACGGGAAGAAGGCCUUCGGGUUGUAAACCGUUUUCAGGAGGGACGAAGCCACUCGGGUUAAUAGCCCAGAGGGUGACGGUACCUCCAGAAGAAGCCCCGGCUAACUACGUGCCAGCAGCCGCGGUAAUACGUAGGGGGCAAGCGUUGUCCGGAUUUAUUGGGCGUAAAGAGCGUGUAGGCGGCCAAACAGGUCCGACGUGAAAUUCCGAGGCUCAACCUCGGCAGGUCGUUGGAAACCGUAUGGCUAGAGUCCGGAAGAGGAGAGUGGAAUUCCUGGUGUAGCGGUGAAAUGCGCAGAUAUCAGGAAGAACACCGAUGGCGAAGGCAGCUCUCUGGGACGGUACUGACGCUGAGACGCGAAAGCGUGGGGAGCGAACAGGAUUAGAUACCCUGGUGGUUCACGCCGUAAACGAUGGGUGCUAGGUGUGGGCGGUGUCGACUCCGUCCGUGCCGAAGCUAACGCAUUAGCACCCCGCCUGGGGAGUACGGCCGCAAGGCUAAAACUCAAACGAAUUGACGGGGGCCCGCACAAGCGGUGGAGCAUGGGGUUUAAUUCGAUGCAACGCGAAGAAACCUUACCUGGUCUUGACAUAGUAAGAACUUUC
RNAcentral lists this ribosomal RNA (983 nucleotides) under uncultured bacterium. Its description in RNAcentral is "bacterial SSU rRNA". It matches the Rfam family "Bacterial small subunit ribosomal RNA", at positions 28 to 1000 of the family's 1533-position model. The record is from RNAcentral.